This 1076-nucleotide long non-coding RNA is filed under the name Medicago truncatula (barrel medic). RNAcentral describes it as "long non-coding RNA (MTRU_LNC005100)". The record is from RNAcentral. Lineage: Eukaryota; Viridiplantae; Streptophyta; Magnoliopsida; Fabales; Fabaceae.
UGAACCCUUCGUGAUGCUAGCACUGUGUCAUGCUCACCUAUAUCAUUCCCAUCUCCUUCUAAAUGGUCUGGUAGUUCCUCUUCUUCAUUGUAAUUCCCAAUUGUCUUCUUGAGCAAGGAUAUGUGGAACAUUGGGUGCACUCGUGAUCCCUCAGGUAAUUUCAAUUUGUAAGCACAAUUCCUCGAGCCACAAUUGGAUAGGGACAACAAAUUUUAGCUUAUAACUUCGCAUAAAUACAAGCCACCACUGAUUGGGGGACUAAAAGUCGGAAGCAAAAGUUAUGAUAGAAAAAAAAAAAAUUAGGACUAAAAGUUGAAGAAAUCUUUAAAAGUUAAAUAAAAAAUUUAUAUAUUUACAAAAACCAAAAAUAUAUUUAAGCCAAAAUUUUCUGAAGAGAUUCUCACAGGACAUAAUUUCCCUUCCAAUUCGCACACGACUUUUUUGCUACAAUCCAGUAAGAGAUUGAAAUACGUUUGUUUCCUUCUUACAUGUAUAACCCCUCUUAACAUUUUCAAGCAUAUUUCAAAUGUGUGCAUGUUGGUUCCAAAAUAUUUAACCAAUAAUUAAGUUACAAUUGAGCAUUAUGGAACAACCUCAUGUUCAAUUGAUUCAUGCGUACAUUACCAUAUGUCAUUCAUCUGUACCUCCUAUUUAUAUAUAUAUAUAUAUAAUAUAAUUAUAAAUGAUAAUUUUCUAUCUAAUCCUCGAGCAUCAUUGUUUAUUUUAUUUUAUUGAUAGACGAAUUGGCAAAGCCAUUAUACUCACACACAUAAGUGGAGAUACCGGAGUUCAAACCCCGAUCAUGGCAUCCGACCUAACAAUUUCGGCAUUUUACUAGUUGAGCUAGAACUUCUGAAUCGAGCAUCAUUGUUACUAAAUGGCAUAUUGAAAUGGUCGCCAUCAACAAUUUUAUUACACAACAAGAGUAAAUUGUUUUUUUCUUUUGGGUGUGAAUAAUUAAGAGUAAACUUGCCUGAAUAAAAAAAGAGUAAACUUGCUAUUGUUGAAAGACACAACAAAUGCGAGUAUUCAGUAUCCUUUGUAGUGUUUUUAUAUAUGUUAUCUUCUAAUAAUAA